CACAGGUGUGGGAACAGCUGCAGCCGCCCCUCCCUGAGCACCACGCUGGGCACAGGUCCGGGCGGACUGCUCCGUGUGCCCCUGGCAGAGCUCAGCCUCCAGCGAGGACUCAGCCUCACCCAGCAACACCAGCAGCCAGAGCUCGGAGGAUGCGUGUUCUGCCAGCCCUGCUCAGGGCACACAGGUGCAUCCACUGCCCUCUGCCCCACCUGACCCACAGGCUUAGGUGCCUCACUGUGAGAUCUGCCACCCUGCAGGACCCCCAGGCAGGCAAGGUGGAGGGCUGCUGCCAUCCUGCACAACGCUGCUGCAAGAGGAAGCUGUCUGCUUUUGCACCGGAGGGGUCUGGCAUGGGAGAGCAGCCCACGGCCCCCAGCCCCGUAUACCGGCUGGUGCUGGCAGGAGACAGCGGUGCAGGCAAGUCCAGCUUCCUGCUGCGCCUUUGUAGAAACGAGUUUCGAGGUGACAUCUCAUCCACGUUAGGUACCAGGGCUGGGAUGGAGGGGCUGGGAUACGUGGGGUGGGGUCUGAUGGCUGCCCCGGACAGGGGUGGACUUUCAGGUGAAGGAGCUGCUGGUGGAUGGGGAGCAAACCACCCUGCAGAUCUGGGACACUGCCGGGCAGGAAAGGUGAGGGGGGCAGCAGCACCCACCCCCUGCCAUGCAGCCAGGUCUCUGCUGCAGGCCUGGCCCUGCAUGGCCCCACACGGGCAGUGACA
This 718-nucleotide long non-coding RNA is filed under the name Gallus gallus (chicken). Its description in RNAcentral is "long non-coding RNA NONGGAT001794". Lineage: Eukaryota; Metazoa; Chordata; Aves; Galliformes; Phasianidae. The record is from RNAcentral.